AGAGUUUGAUUAUGGCUCAGGAUGAACGCUGGCGGCGUGCCUAACACAUCAAGUCGAACGGACCUUAAAGGGCUUGCUCUUAAGGUUAGUGGCGGACGGGUGAGUAACGCGUGAGCAACCUGCCUCUGACAGCGGGAUAACAUUGGGAAACCGGUGCUAAUACCGCAUGACACACCGAGUUUGCAUGGACACGGUGUCAAAGAAGCGAUUCGGUCAGAGAUGGGCUCGCGUCUGAUUAGUUAGUUGGCGGGGUAACGGCCCACCAAGACGACGAUCAGUAGCCGGACUGAGAGGUCGAACGGCCACAUUGGAACUGAGAAACGGCCAGACUCCUACGGGAGGCAGCAGUGGGGAAUAUUGGGCAAUGGGCGAAAGCCUGAACCCCCAGCGACGCCGCGUGGAGGAAGAAGGUCUUCGGAUUGUAAACUCCUGUCAACAGGGAAGAAGCAAGUGACGGUACCUGUAGAGGAAGCCACGGCUAACUACGUGCCAGCAGCCGC
RNAcentral lists this ribosomal RNA (500 nucleotides) under uncultured bacterium. Its description in RNAcentral is "bacterial SSU rRNA". It matches the Rfam family "Bacterial small subunit ribosomal RNA", at positions 8 to 518 of the family's 1533-position model. The record is from RNAcentral.